ACACUUAAGUGUUUAAAAAGUGGUCAAAAUCUUUCGUAAGAUGAACUUGAAAUUUGAGGCCAAAAUCGGUCCUUACCGGACCUACUCCUUUAGUCAACAAUGAUUUUGUACUAACACUCUCAUACGCUUUUUAAAAAUCUAUGAAAGCUGUGAAUGUUGAUAACCUUUUUCAGUUUUCUAGUUUCAAUAAUUUAAGUUAUUGUACUUAGAUGAUCAAUCGUACUUCUACCUUUAAGGCAGCCAUUUUGCUCAUCCUGAAUAAUGUCUUUUUGUUCUUACCAAUACAUUAAUCUAUUAUUCAGUAUACUACAAUAUAAUUUAUAAGCACAGGGCGCUAAAGUUAUGCCUCUGUAUGAUAAAUGAUAUUGUUGAUCUAAAGUUGAAG
RNAcentral lists this long non-coding RNA (385 nucleotides) under Mytilus galloprovincialis (Mediterranean mussel). The record is from RNAcentral. Lineage: Eukaryota; Metazoa; Mollusca; Bivalvia; Mytilida; Mytilidae.